Molecule: long non-coding RNA, 808 nt
Filed under: Brassica napus (rape)
Lineage: Eukaryota; Viridiplantae; Streptophyta; Magnoliopsida; Brassicales; Brassicaceae
Description: long non-coding RNA (BNAP_LNC013835)
Source: RNAcentral
UCCCCAUUUGGUAAGUGAUAUGGCCACUUCUCCCACUUCCUCCACUAACUAGUAGUGGACUAGCCAUUCCUCCCCAUUUGGUAAGUGAUAUGGCCAUUUCUCCCACUUCUUCCACUACUUCCCUUUGUUUAAUUCUUCAUGUCAACACACGUUAAAGGUUGAGAGCGGUCAUGAAUUUCUUACGAGCUAGCGGAAUGCGUCGAGCUGACAUGUUGAGCAAAACUAGUUUAGGAACCGUUAGAAUUGGGUUGUUUUGUUCGAGUGGUUUGUCGUGGGAUCAUAAUUCCUGAUUUUCAGGCUGAUUUAUAAAAUUUAAUUAUUAUUUUUAAAUAAUAUAUAUAGUUCAAUACUUGCUUAGAACCCUAGAACACUUGAGAUUAUGGACUUUUCAUAAGACAUAUUUGGGCUUUUGUACGUAGUCUAAUAGUAAUCUAAUAGUAAAACGCUUUCGUACUAUGUGAUUUGUCUUUUUUUAAAGGUCCAUCUUAUUUUUUUCAUGUGUAAAAACUAAAAACCUUUCUAAAUGAGUAAUGUAAAUAUCUGAAACCUUUUUCCAAAGGGAGAUUCAUUCUUAAACUUGUGGGUUAACAUCUCAGUUUCCAUCUCUAAAUUAAGGUUAAGCUUUGACCCAAAUAAAUAAAUUAUAAAUUUGCAAAAGCUUUCUCGUUUUACUCCUUUGGUCUCCAUGUUCUAUUCAUCCUUGAUCCUUCUCUGUUGAUUUGUAUGGACUCAUAUGUUACGAGUGUCCACCCAUUAUGGGUAAAAAACAAGACUUGAGUGUUGAGUCUUUUCUUCUUUUUACCGAUAA